This 91-nucleotide transfer RNA is filed under the name Microbacterium imperiale. RNAcentral describes it as "tRNA-Tyr". The record is from RNAcentral. Lineage: Bacteria; Bacillati; Actinomycetota; Actinomycetes; Micrococcales; Microbacteriaceae.
GCGCCGCUGGGCGCAUCCGGGCAUCCCUCGAUUGUAGGUCGGUGCUCAUGCGGUCGGCUGCAUGCGCGAAGUUCUGGUCGUCGGCGGCGCA